RNAcentral lists this ribosomal RNA (254 nucleotides) under uncultured bacterium. RNAcentral describes it as "partial 16S ribosomal RNA". It matches the Rfam family "Bacterial small subunit ribosomal RNA", at positions 524 to 776 of the family's 1533-position model. The record is from RNAcentral.
UACGUAGGUGGCAAGCGUUGUCCGGAUUUACUGGGCGUAAAGGGCGUGCAGGCGGUCUGUUAAGUGCAGGGUGAAAGCUCCCGGCUCAACUGGGAGAGGUCCUUGCAUACUGGCGGACUUGAGGGGGGUAGAGGAAAGUGGAAUUCCCGGUGUAGUGGUGAUAUGCGUAGAUAUCGGGAGGAACACCUGUGGCGAAGGCGGCUUUCUGGGCCCUACCUGACGCUGAGACGCGAAAGCCGUGGGGAGCGAACCGG